AUGGAGGAUAUGGAAGGUAGGAACAGAAAUAAAAAAACUAAAACAAAUGAAAAUGAAGAGUAUGAAAAAAACAACGAUAGUAUUAACCCAUUGCAAGGUUCAAGUAAAACAACAGUGGAACGAAGUAAGCCAGGAAAUAGUGACAUACAAUCUACCAUUGCUUUAAAUUCCGACACAGAAAAUAAAAACAAAAUAAAAAUAGAUAAUUUUAACACAUAUCAAGUGAAUAAUAGUAUAAAUACAAAAAACAAUAAACCGAGUACAGAUUAUUCUAAUAAUAUUACCUGUGCUGAUAAUAUGAUAAAUGGUUUACAUAUCGACAAUACCCUCACUAAACGUUAUAAAAAUACAAAAGAAAAAAAAAAAAAGUUGAGUGGUUCUUUAUUAGGUAAAAAGGAUACUAACAAGGAAAAAGGAAUACACAUAAUAUACGAUGAUAAUUAUAAUAAUAGUAGUGAUAAUAAUGAUACUAUAUAUGAAUAUAUAAAAAGAAGAAAACGUAAAAAAAAAAAAUUUACAUUACGUAUAAGUACUUUAAAAAUAUAUAGAAUACAGAAUUAUAUAUAUAAAGCUUUCACAACUUUUUUAUGUUUAUUUAUAGUUAUAAUAGUUUUAUAUACAUCUAUUAACAUUUCAACUCCUUAUGGUAUAAAAAUUAUUUUUUUUAUAUUUAUUUUAGAAAUUGGUAGUAUGUUUAUUUCGUAUAUUUUAUUACAAUUUCCAUUAUUAUAUCGUGUGUUGAAAAAUAUAUUUACACGAGCACAAACUGCACAAAAAUAUUCACAUGAAUAUAAUCCCUUUUAUAUAGAACAUCAGUCCGAUGAUGAUAGCAAUGAUUUUGAUAAUUAUAAUGGGUACGGAAGUCUAAAAACAAAAAAAGAAAAAAUAGGAGGGGGAGAAAAAAAAAAUAAUAAAACAGGUUUUAUAUAUAAAAUUAAAAAUUGGUUUGGAAAAAGUGAUGAUAUUCACCAAAAAAAAAAGAAAAAACAGUUUGUUGAAUAUGGUAAAAACAAAAAAGAGUUAGAGGGAAAAUAUCAAAAUAGUAUUGAGAAGGGAAAAGGACCAGCUCCCAAAUCGUAUUCAUAUAAUCUUUUAUAUGUAACAAAUUUGGACCGACGAAUAGAAGAAACAAAUAAGGGGGAAAAAAAAAAAAAUGAACCAUUAACAGAAAAGGAAAGUCGUAACAGAAAUAACAAAGAUGGUAACAGCGACGACAAUAACAGUAAUAGAAGAAGCAACAGUAACAGUAAUAAUAAAAAUAAUAUUUAUGCUAAAAAAGAAAACGUCUAUAUUGAUGAUUGUAAUUUAUGGACAAAUGUUAAUAUGAAAAAGUAUAAUAAAAAAUAUAAUAAAAGUUUAAUGUCUGUUUUUAGUUUUUUCAAAAAGUAUGAGAAAACAUAA
Molecule: long non-coding RNA, 1401 nt
Filed under: Piliocolobus tephrosceles (Ugandan red Colobus)
Lineage: Eukaryota; Metazoa; Chordata; Mammalia; Primates; Cercopithecidae
Description: lncRNA (ENSPTEG00000022746.1)
Source: RNAcentral